Molecule: long non-coding RNA, 1017 nt
Organism: Myotis daubentonii (Daubenton's bat)
Lineage: Eukaryota; Metazoa; Chordata; Mammalia; Chiroptera; Vespertilionidae
Exons: 2
Source: RefSeq, a predicted model, not a curated record
UACAGACCUUUAUGUCACUAUGCUACAUUUAACAUCAGUCCCCUCAAGAUGUGAUUCCCCAUAGUUACCCCAAAACCCUUAUACUGCAAUCAGAGACCCCCCCCUCCAUUUACAAAGACCCCUGCUCUUACCCCUGAAGAAGAGACACAUUAACCAGGCCACUGACACCUCCAAUUUACAGAUACGAAAAUAGUCCUGAAAGUACUAAUUACAGGACCCCCAAAUGUUCCUAUCCUCUGCACCCUCAAGAAUCCCCCAGUGCCUUGUAUGAAGCCCACCCAACAUGGCCCACAGCCCCUCUGCUAGCCAGAUUUCCAGAAAAUUCUCUAUUUUUAAAGUAAUGACUUUCCCUUUGGGGGGAACCCAAAAUUUGGAGCCCCCAUUUUGAGACUGUGGAUCCCAAACUUCCAUGUGCCCCCAAGUGCUACAGCCGCUAGAAUACCCCAAAGCCCUAAAUUCCAGGGCCCCCAAGCCAUGGGAUCCCCAAAUUCCCAGGGAGUCCUAAAUGUAAAAAUCCAAUCCCAAGCCCCCCGGAAACCCCAAUCAUGGAAGUCCUUGUGCCUGGAAUGGAGGAGACUGCAGUCAGGUCAUGCAUCCCAGGCUACCAUGGCACGUUAAGCCCUAUUCAUAGGCACCAGGAGACCCCAAACAGUUAUGCUCAUCCCUGAAAACUAGAGGACUUCAAUGCCCUGACCCCCAAAGAACCCCAAAUCCUAAAGCCUCCAUCUCAUACAUGAAGGGCACCCCAAGGCCUUGAGGGGAUCGCAAAUCCUGGAGCCCCCAUUUCAAUCCACAUUCUGGUCAUAGGUCCAAAACACCAAAUCUGAGUCACUGACCCUAAAUGACCUCACAGCACCCAGGCCAGACUAGCAGGGUGAGGGAGACCCUGAAGGCCCAGGGAGUCCAGGACAGACCUGGGGGCCUCACUACCAAGGACAGCUCAGACUACCCCUUAACUGCAUGUCCGAGAACUCAGCAUGACCUGUCUGCCCCCUUCAAUAAAGACGUUUCUAUGGC